CAACAAUUCGGUCUUUACUUAACCUGCCCUAAUAUUUUUCGGCCUGAUGGGAAUUAGUGCAGAGAAGCCAUGUCACCAUAGAAGGCAACUCCUACUUGUGUGUGGACUGAGCAAUCAGAGUCUGUGGCGAUAAUAUUGCUGAAAAUGCACUGCAUUCAUUUUUCUAAACAUAGAUUGAGAACAGUUGAACUCUUAAAUCCUCAGAUGCCAGGGGUCUGCUCUAGCAUCAACGCAGGAGGAGGGAGAUGCACUGAUGACAUCGGGCCGCUCCUGCAGCUCGGGCGCCUCGCAGUCUCCAGGUGCAAGGCCAGCGCUUCCGCCGUGGCUGCUUCAGGACAUCCCCCAGCACAGCCGCUCCUGGAGACCCGGCCAUCUUUUCUGCAUCGUUUUGCAAUUUGUGAAACUUAGGACAGCAGCCGCCUGUUCAACCAGGCCCUCCGCCGGAU
This 446-nucleotide small RNA is filed under the name Pan troglodytes (chimpanzee). Its description in RNAcentral is "processed transcript". The record is from RNAcentral. Lineage: Eukaryota; Metazoa; Chordata; Mammalia; Primates; Hominidae.